Molecule: unclassified non-coding RNA, 942 nt
Filed under: Streptococcus pneumoniae
Lineage: Bacteria; Bacillati; Bacillota; Bacilli; Lactobacillales; Streptococcaceae
Description: partial contains 16S ribosomal RNA, 16S-23S ribosomal RNA intergenic spacer, and 23S ribosomal RNA
Rfam family: Bacterial small subunit ribosomal RNA (bases 1-138)
Source: RNAcentral
GCGAAAGGGGGGGGACAGUUGUAACACCCGAAGUCGGUGAGGUAACCGUGAGGGGCAGCCGCCUAAGGUGGGAUAGAUGAUUGGGGUGAAGUCGUAACAAGGUAGCCGUAUCGAAGGUGCGGCUGGAUCACCUCCUUUCUAAGGAUAAGGAACUGCGCAUUGGUCUUGUUUAGUCUUGAGAGGUCUUGUGGGGCCUUAGCUCAGCUGGGAGAGCGCCUGCUUUGCACGCAGGAGGUCAGCGGUUCGAUCCCGCUAGCCUCCAUUGGUGAGAGAUCACCAAGUAAUGCACAUUGAAAAUUGAAUAUCUAUAUCAAAUAGUAACAAGAAAAUAAACCGAAAACGCUGUAGUAUUAAUAAGAGUUUAUGACUGAAAGGUCAGAAAAUAAGGUUAAGUUAAUAAGGGCGCACGGUGGAUGCCUUGGCACUAGGAGCCGACGAAGGACGUGACAACGACGAUAUGCCUUGGGUAGCUGUAAGUAGCGAUGAUCCAGGGAUUUCCAACAGGGAAAAACACACAAAAGGCCGGGGAAGUUUUCCACAGGCCGGGGGGAGCGUUUUUCCCAGGCCCCGGCCACCAAAUCACCAACCCGGGGAUUUUUUAAAUAAUUCCCAUUUCUUUUUCCUUUCUAUAAGAAAAACAAUUAGAAAGUGGGGGGGUGGUUUGUUAUUUGUUUAUUCCUGAGUAGCAACCCAUUAUUUUUUUUAUAUUUGUAUGUAGAGACGUCUGUGCGCGGGGGGUGGGGCGAGGCAUCCACCUACAAGUAUACAAUGAGAGAAGGAGAUAAGGUGAGAGUAUAAUCAGUGGGCGUCGUGCUACUACGCCGCCCUCUUUCCCCGGCCCGCUUCUUUUUUCCUACUAUUCUUCUAUUAUAUAGUGUGUAUCAGCGCAGGAGCACCUAUGAUAAUAGUGAAUUAUGGUGUUACGGUGAAGUUCCUAAUAUG